GCAGUUGUGGCGGAAUUGGUAUACGCGCUAGACUAAGGAUCUAGUGGCUCUAAGCCUUGCAGGUUCAAGUCCUGUCAACUGCA
RNAcentral lists this transfer RNA (83 nucleotides) under Clostridiales bacterium. Its description in RNAcentral is "tRNA-Leu". It matches the Rfam family "tRNA". From Rfam's summary of the family: Transfer RNA (tRNA) molecules are approximately 80 nucleotides in length. Lineage: Bacteria; Bacillati; Bacillota; Clostridia; Eubacteriales. The record is from RNAcentral.